Transfer RNA from Loxodonta africana (African savanna elephant), 72 nucleotides. It matches the Rfam family "tRNA". From Rfam's summary of the family: Transfer RNA (tRNA) molecules are approximately 80 nucleotides in length. Their secondary structure includes four short double-helical elements and three loops (D, anti-codon, and T loops). Further hydrogen bonds mediate the characteristic L-shaped molecular structure. tRNAs have two regions of fundamental functional importance: the anti-codon, which is responsible for specific mRNA codon recognition, and the 3' end, to which the tRNAs corresponding amino acid is attached (by aminoacyl-tRNA synthetases). tRNAs cope with the degeneracy of the genetic code in two manners: having more than one tRNA (with a specific anti-codon) for a particular amino acid; and 'wobble' base-pairing, i.e. permitting non-standard base-pairing at the 3rd anti-codon position. The record is from Rfam. NCBI's taxonomy places the organism in Eukaryota, Metazoa, Chordata, Mammalia, Proboscidea, Elephantidae.
GCCAUGAUCGUACAGUGGUGAGUACUCUGCGUUGUGGCCUCAGCAACCUCGGUUCGAAUCUGAGUUACGGCA